RNAcentral lists this ribosomal RNA (645 nucleotides) under Bacillus aerophilus. RNAcentral describes it as "bacterial SSU rRNA". It matches the Rfam family "Bacterial small subunit ribosomal RNA", at positions 118 to 750 of the family's 1533-position model. The record is from RNAcentral. Lineage: Bacteria; Bacillati; Bacillota; Bacilli; Caryophanales; Bacillaceae.
UGGGUACCUGCCUGUAAGACUGGGAUAACUCCGGGAAACCGGAGCUAAUACCGGAUAGUUCCUUGAACCGCAUGGUUCAAGGAUGAAAGACGGUUUCGGCUGUCACUUACAGAUGGACCCGCGGCGCAUUAGCUAGUUGGUGAGGUAACGGCUCACCAAGGCGACGAUGCGUAGCCGACCUGAGAGGGUGAUCGGCCACACUGGGACUGAGACACGGCCCAGACUCCUACGGGAGGCAGCAGUAGGGAAUCUUCCGCAAUGGACGAAAGUCUGACGGAGCAACGCCGCGUGAGUGAUGAAGGUUUUCGGAUCGUAAAGCUCUGUUGUUAGGGAAGAACAAGUGCAAGAGUAACUGCUUGCACCUUGACGGUACCUAACCAGAAAGCCACGGCUAACUACGUGCCAGCAGCCGCGGUAAUACGUAGGUGGCAAGCGUUGUCCGGAAUUAUUGGGCGUAAAGGGCUCGCAGGCGGUUUCUUAAGUCUGAUGUGAAAGCCCCCGGCUCAACCGGGGAGGGUCAUUGGAAACUGGGAAACUUGAGUGCAGAAGAGGAGAGUGGAAUUCCACGUGUAGCGGUGAAAUGCGUAGAGAUGUGGAGGAACACCAGUGGCGAAGGCGACUCUCUGGUCUGUAACUGACGCUGAG